AGCGAACGCUAGCGGAUGGCUUAACACAUGCAAGUCGAGCGGGCAGCUUCGGCUGUCUAGCGGCGAACGGGUGCGUAACACGUGGGUAAUCUGCCUUCUGGUGGGGGAUAACCCGACGAAAGUCGGGCUAAUACCGCAUAUGGCCUACGGGUCAAAGCAGCAAUGCGCCAGUUGAUGAGCCCGCGGCCCAUUAUUUAAUCCUAGUUGGCGGGGUAACGGCCCACCAAGGGUACGAUGGGUAGCUGGUCUGAGAGGACGAUCAGCCACACUGGGACUGAGACACGGCCCAGACUCCUACGGGAGGCAGCAGUGGGGAAUAUUGCGCAAUGGGCGAAAGCCUGACGCAGCCAAUCCGCGUGGGUGAUGAAGGCCUCGGUUGUAAG
This 383-nucleotide ribosomal RNA is filed under the name uncultured bacterium. RNAcentral's name for it is "bacterial SSU rRNA". It matches the Rfam family "Bacterial small subunit ribosomal RNA", at positions 29 to 429 of the family's 1533-position model. The record is from RNAcentral.